CCACCCACAGCUCAAGUGCAAAAACUGCGGGGCCUUUGGCCACACGGCCAGAAGUACCAGGUGCCCCAUGAAGUGCUGGAAGGCAGCCCUGGUUCCAGCGACCUUGGGGAAAAAGGAAGGGAAGGAAAACCUGAAACCAUGGAAGCCCCGGGGUGAAGCCAACCCGGGGCCCUUGAACAAGGAUAAGGGAGAGAAGGAAGAGAGACCAAGGCAACAAGACCCGCAGAGGAAGGCUCUCCUCCACAUGUUUUCCGGGAAACCUCCAGAGAAGCCGCUGCCGAAUGGAAAAGGAUCCACGGAAUCUUCUGAUUAUCUGAGGGUUGCAAGCGGGCCAAUGCCGGUCCACACAACCAGUAAGAGGCCGCGCUUGGACCCUGUCCUCGCUGAUCGCUCCGCAACCGAAAUGUCUGGCAGGGGCUCCGUCUUGGCUUCACUGUCUCCCCUCAGAAAAGCCAGCCUGAGCUCCUCCUCAAGUCUUGGACCAAAGGAAAGACAGACUGGGGCUGCGGCCGACAUGCCUCAGCCUGCAGUCAGGCACCAGGGCCGCGAGCCUCUCCUCGUGGUGAAGCCGACACACAGCCGCCCCGAGGGUGGCUGCCGAGAAGUU
This 607-nucleotide long non-coding RNA is filed under the name Homo sapiens (human). Its description in RNAcentral is "non-protein coding lnc-USP17L3-6:1". The record is from RNAcentral. Lineage: Eukaryota; Metazoa; Chordata; Mammalia; Primates; Hominidae.